Long non-coding RNA from Rhagoletis pomonella (apple maggot), 1340 nucleotides. RefSeq lists it as uncharacterized. The transcript is spliced from 3 exons. The record is from RefSeq and is a predicted model, not a curated record. NCBI's taxonomy places the organism in Eukaryota, Metazoa, Arthropoda, Insecta, Diptera, Tephritidae.
AGUGACUUUGCAUUGGUUUUACAUUUAAAAUCCCCAAUUGUAUGACAACAGCAAUUAAAUUUAUUGUCUACGAACGGUCACCAUGCAAAACUAGCAGCAGCUAGUUAGGGUUAGUGUUAAUUGUCCGUAAAGAAACAUAGCUAUUCUCCAAUAUGAAUGGAGAACGGCGCUAGGUUUAUUCCUGAUGUGGAACGUAAUCACAUACAUACAUACAUACAAUGCAUAAAUGUCAUUGUCUAAAAUUUUACUACCACGCGGCCAUUACGUAAGUUUGCUGGAACGGUUGGAUCACAUGAAUCAAAUUAGCCGUUCUGGUGGCCCUGGUGGGUAUAUUGAAUUUACCGACUUUUCGUCCACUUAAACAUUUUGUCUAAAAUUUUACUACCACGCGGCCAUUAUGUAAGUUUGCUGGAACGGUUGGAGAUUUUUAUUGCGGUGGACGUGUGUUUACUCUCGUUGGUGUACGAAUUGGAAAGUUUAACUUCUGUGCAUUUUCGUGGAAAACUGCAUUCGUUUAAUUAGAUACGCACGGAAAUAAACCGCCACGAUGGGAAUAAAAUUCCUCGAAGUUAUCAAGCCAUUCUGCAGCAUACUCCCGGAAAUUGCAAAGCCGGAACGAAAGAUUCUUUCAGAAAGUCACCACGGUCAUGAGCACAGUCAUCCGCAUGGGCAUGGACACACACAAGAGCAUGUCAGUCCAGAAGCACUAAUGAAUCCAACGUUUCUGAGACAAUCUCAGCAUGUUGGUGCUAAUAUGUCGGCACCUAUACCCACAGCGCAUGCCACGUAUGAUUAGUACAAUGAGUACGAUAGCGAUACCCAUGCCAGCACCACCACCUAGAAGUGGUACAAGUACCGGCGUACCAACAGCAUUUAAUGAUACGCUAAUCGAUUUGAGUGGCGAAUCGCAACAGUAAGUGUGUAAACCGAUAGGAAUUACAACGUAAUUUGGUAUUUUUAUUUAACACGGAUAAAUAUAUAUUUACAUAAAUGUGUAUAUGGAAAAGACGCACCACAAAUUGAAUGCACACUUAAGAUGCGUAGGUACAUUCAUAAAGUUGGUAAAUGUGGAUGAUGUUAAGAAAUGGUCGGUUCUACAGUUGGAGACGAAAAGCGAAUUUCUAAUUAUGCGUUUAAAAGUUAGUUUAGGUUGCCUUUUCGAUUUAGUAAGAACUUUAAUGGUAUAAAAGGGAUUAUCCGUGAUGUGUAAUAUAUAUAUAUAUAUAUAUAUUUUUUUUUUUUUUUUUAAUUUUGAAUGAAGCAGAACUUUUGUAAAACAAAACGAAAAUCCAUAACUUCUAUCCAUAAUUUCUGUACAAUUUUUUAAAGAUAAUUCUGAA